UACGUAGGUGGCAAGCGUUGUCCGGAAUUACUGGGUGUAAAGGGCGUGUAGGCGGGAAGGCAAGUCAGAUGUGAAAGCCCAUGGCUUAACUGUGGAAUUGCAUCUGAAACUGUUUUUCUUGAGUGCUGGAGAGGAAAGUGGAAUUCCUAGUGUAGCGGUGAAAUGCGUAGAGAUUAGGAGGAACACCAGUGGCGAAGGCGGCUUUCUGGACAGUAACUGACGCUGAGGCGCGAAAGCGUGGGGAGCAAACAGGAUUAGAUACCCUGGUAGUCCACGCUGUAAACGAUGGAUACUAGGUGUGGGAGGUAUCGACCCCUUCCGUGCCGGAGUUAACACAAUAAGUAUCCCACCUGGGGAGUACGGCCGCAAGGCUGAA
Molecule: ribosomal RNA, 376 nt
Filed under: uncultured bacterium
Lineage: Bacteria
Description: bacterial SSU rRNA
Rfam family: Bacterial small subunit ribosomal RNA
Source: RNAcentral